GACGAACGCUGGCGGCGUGCUUAACACAUGCAAGUCGAACGGAAAGGCACUGAUUUCUUGGGGUGCCCGAGUGGCGAACGGGUGAGUAACACGUAAGUAACCUGAUCUUGUUUUUGGGAUAACUUCAGGAAACUGGGCCUACUACCGGAUAGCAGCUCACGCUGCAUGGUGGGCGUUGGAACGUCUCGGCGGGUGGGGAUGGAUUGGCGGCUUAUCAGCUAGCUGGUGGGCUAGUUGCUUACCAAGGAUUGGACCGGUAGCCGGCAUGUGAGGGUGACCGGCCACAUUGGGACUGCGAUACGGCGCAGACUCCUACAGGAGGCAGCAGUGGGGAGUAUGGCACAAUGAGCGGGAGUCUGAGGCAGCGGCGCCGCGUGCGGGAUGACGGCCUUCGGGUUGUGAACCGCUUUCGCCUGAGACGACGCGUGAGUGACGGUAAUGGGUAAAGAAGCACCGGCUAACUACGUG
Molecule: ribosomal RNA, 468 nt
Filed under: uncultured bacterium
Lineage: Bacteria
Description: partial 16S ribosomal RNA
Rfam family: Bacterial small subunit ribosomal RNA
Source: RNAcentral